RNAcentral lists this ribosomal RNA (574 nucleotides) under uncultured bacterium. RNAcentral's name for it is "bacterial SSU rRNA". It matches the Rfam family "Bacterial small subunit ribosomal RNA", at positions 72 to 686 of the family's 1533-position model. The record is from RNAcentral.
GGGCUCUUCGGAGCUAGUGGCGGACGGGUGAGUAACGCGUGAUAAUCUGCCUUCAGGUCUGGGACAACAGAAGGAAACUUCUGCUAAUCCCGGAUGAGCCCUUGGGUAAAAGAUAUAUUGCCUGGAGAUGAGCUCGCGUCUGAUUAGCUAGUUGGUGUGAUAAAAGCAUACCGAGGCGACGAUCAGUAGCUGGUCUGAGAGGAUGAGCAGCCACACUGGGACUGAGACACGGCCCAGACUCCUACGGGAGGCAGCAGUGGGGAAUUUUCCGCAAUGGGCGAAAGCCUGACGGAGCAAGACCGCGUGGGGGAGGAAAGCUCUAGGGUUGUAAACCCCUUUUCUUUGGGAAGAAGUACUGACGGUACCAAAGGAAUCAGCCUCGGCUAACUCCGUGCCAGCAGCCGCGGUAAUACGGAGGAGGCAAGCGUUAUCCGGAAUGAUUGGGCGUAAAGCCGUCCGCAGGUGGCCAUGUAAGUCUGCUGUCAAAACCCAGGGCUUAACUCUGGUCAGGCAGUGGAAACUACAAAGCUAUAGUUCGGUAGGGGCAAAGGGAAUUCCCGGUGUAGCGGUGAAA